CAGGCCUAACACAUGCAAGUCGAGCGGGCGUAGCAAUACGUCAGCGGCAGACGGGUGAGUAACGCGUGGGAACGUACCUUUUGGUUCGGAACAACACAGGGAAACUUGUGCUAAUACCGGAUAAGCCCUUACGGGGAAAGAUUUAUCGCCGAAAGAUCGGCCCGCGUCUGAUUAGCUAGUUGGUGAGGUAAUGGCUCACCAAGGCGACGAUCAGUAGCUGGUCUGAGAGGAUGAUCAGCCACAUUGGGACUGAGACACGGCCCAAACUCCUACGGGAGGCAGCAGUGGGGAAUAUUGGACAAUGGGGGCAACCCUGAUCCAGCCAUGCCGCGUGAGUGAUGAAGGCCCUAGGGUUGUAAAGCUCUUUUGUGCGGGAAGAUAAUGACGGUACCGCAAGAAUAAGCCCCGGCUAACUUCGUGCCAGCAGCCGCGGUAAU
RNAcentral lists this ribosomal RNA (437 nucleotides) under uncultured bacterium. Its description in RNAcentral is "bacterial SSU rRNA". It matches the Rfam family "Bacterial small subunit ribosomal RNA", at positions 43 to 524 of the family's 1533-position model. The record is from RNAcentral.